This 248-nucleotide ribosomal RNA is filed under the name uncultured bacterium. Its description in RNAcentral is "partial 16S ribosomal RNA". It matches the Rfam family "Bacterial small subunit ribosomal RNA", at positions 103 to 354 of the family's 1533-position model. The record is from RNAcentral.
CGGGUGAGUACAACAUAGGAAAUCUGCCUUAGGGUGGGGGACAACAGAGGGAAACUUCUGCUAAUACCCCAUAUGAGCUUGGUUGAAAUACCAAUCUUGAAAGUUCCGGCGCCCUAAGAUGAGCCUGUGCCUGAUUAGCUAGUUGGUGGUGUAAUGGACUACCAAGGCAACGAUCAGUAGCUGGUUUGAGAGGAUGAUCAGCCACAAUGGGACUGAGACACGGCCCAUACUCCUACGGGAGGCAGCAG